This 70-nucleotide transfer RNA is filed under the name Pristis clavata (dwarf sawfish). RNAcentral's name for it is "tRNA-Tyr". It matches the Rfam family "tRNA". Rfam says of the family: Transfer RNA (tRNA) molecules are approximately 80 nucleotides in length. Their secondary structure includes four short double-helical elements and three loops (D, anti-codon, and T loops). The record is from RNAcentral. Lineage: Eukaryota; Metazoa; Chordata; Chondrichthyes; Rhinopristiformes; Pristidae.
GGUAAGAUGGCCGAGUUUUAGGUGGCGGAUUGUAGCUCCGUAGAGAGAGGUUAGAAUCCUCUUCUUAUCA